RNAcentral lists this transfer RNA (71 nucleotides) under Ictidomys tridecemlineatus (thirteen-lined ground squirrel). RNAcentral describes it as "Spermophilus tridecemlineatus (thirteen-lined ground squirrel) tRNA". It matches the Rfam family "tRNA". Rfam says of the family: Transfer RNA (tRNA) molecules are approximately 80 nucleotides in length. Lineage: Eukaryota; Metazoa; Chordata; Mammalia; Rodentia; Sciuridae. The record is from Rfam by way of RNAcentral.
GCAGAUAUGGCUCAGUGGUAGAGCAUUUGCCUAGCAUGUGAAAGGCCCUGAGUCUGAACCCCAGCACUGCA